Molecule: long non-coding RNA, 567 nt
Organism: Alexandromys fortis (reed vole)
Lineage: Eukaryota; Metazoa; Chordata; Mammalia; Rodentia; Cricetidae
Exons: 3
Source: RefSeq, a predicted model, not a curated record
UUAGGUCUUGCUUCAUAGAUGGACAGGGAGGAGGACUGGGCAGGGGGAACUGGGGUUGAGCUGCGCCCUCUCUGGAAGUUGGGUCUGAGAACAUUGAUUCUAGAACGGUGGUUCCAACUUCAGCCCACACUUGCCUUCUCUGAGGUUGUGGAUGGUCCUCCUGAUGUUUGGAGAUCUGUCAUUAAUCUGGAGAAUAAACGGAGGCCGAGAAAGUGGCCUUUCAAGGACAGAAGCUCAAGGAGGACUUGAACCUCUCGGCAUCAGGAAGCGGUCUCCUCACUGGUGUCUUCGUCUCCACAUGGGAUGGAAUUGGAAAGCCUUGCUACUCAGUUAUCCAUGAUGACUUCAGAAGUAUGAACAUUGGUAGCAAAGGGUCAGUGUAACUAACUCAGCACAGCACAUAGCCUGAGAUGUGGACAUGUUUGGUGGCCCACAAACGACAGCUCACUUCUCCCAGAGGAGCCUGUCUGGCUGGACUUCAAGUCCCAGGCUGGGGUUAAAGAGCCUGGGAAAAGCUGUCAUAAAGACCAACAGGGUCUUUACCAGCUGCAGAAGUACUAAAAUUUG